Molecule: long non-coding RNA, 2217 nt
Organism: Octopus sinensis (East Asian common octopus)
Lineage: Eukaryota; Metazoa; Mollusca; Cephalopoda; Octopoda; Octopodidae
Exons: 3
Source: RefSeq, a predicted model, not a curated record
UGGAAUAUAAUAGCAAAAAUCAAAAUUCGGCAAGAGCAAUGCACAAUUAUUUUGGAGCAUCUUGAACAGAUAUAGAACCAAAAAAAUGUUCUGGAGUAUUCAUAUCAUCAAUCUCAACGGUUCUAUAUUUCAUUUAAUAGAGAACUGAAUAAGAAAUACAGCGAAAGUAAUUCAGUUAUUUGACUGCGGAGAUGCUGGAUCACCGACUUUAGUCCAACAAAACGUUCCCGGGACUUAUUCUUUAUAUUUAUUGAAGUAAUCUUUCACCAAAUGAAUAACUUUACUGCCAUAGUAACACAUACUAAAGAACAGGAUGCUGUGCUAUUUAUUGAUAACAAAGUCUAUGCCAAUAUCCCGGAAAUUAAUGGAGGCAAUCACUGUAAAGACUCUUUUGUACAACAUGAGGUGACGUCGCACUCAAAUUGCUUCGUUAGAUCGAACUCCUACAGGCAUUAUGAACCAACUAUGAAAUAUUCGCCAAACCAAACACGUAUUUGCCAGCAUCAUUGUGAAGUAUUCAUACGCAGGGAAAAUAACAUACUUCAGACUGUUAAACGUCAUUUACACAAUGAAUAUUCUUUUGCGAUAGCAAGCCAAUCACGCUCUAUUAAGCAUAUUGCAGAAAAGCUAAUCGCUUAUCGACGGAAACAGAAGUCUGGGUGUCAAACAUCCGUAGAAAUUAUCUCUUCCACUGCUAAAAAAUGUUCAUAGAUGUUCUUUCAAGCAAGAUAAAAGCAUUUUUGAGCAAUUAAUGAACAAUUUUUCGUCAUAACGCAUUUUUUUAACAAAAUUAUUUACUGAUAAUUUAGAAAAAAGCAAUUGUAAAUAAGAUUGAUGCUUGAAUCUAGAUUUUCAAACUGUUCAUUAGGAACUAAGUUGGGUCCGAUGAAACAAAAAUAUAUGCAAACAUAUUUAAACCAUGAGCAUCCCAUUUUGUUUUUCAGGAUUUCUGUUAACUGGAAUACAUUAUCUCAGUUAUAUUAUGUUCGUAUUAUCAGCCUGUCUCCCUAAAAGUUUGGGGUACUUCCUUGUAUGUGAUGUCUUGUCAGUAGUGUACCGAUAGAAUCUUUAAUUCUAGAUUACUUACAUACAUCUCGAUAAUAUGUUUGCAGCACUGGAAAAGAAUUUCUUGUUUGUGACAUAAUCAACUGAUUUUAGAGUGUAUAGACUUGCAGAAUAUUUAAUGAUUCCAAGAGAAUAAAUUCGUAGAAGGGCGUUUUGUGUCUUGUAGACAUGUUGAAUAAUAUAUUACGUGUGCAUUAAAAGAAUUUAUUUGCAAUGCUACUAGGAUCCAUGAAUUUAUAGAGUUUAAAUCAUUGCAGUGUGUGUACACAAUAGAAGCAAAUUGUAUUUUAUACAAUUUCUCCAAGGACGAAAAAGUGUUCAGCCAGACCCUAUUCAAUCUGAACCACAGUUAAUCGCAUAAAAUGUCGAGUAUACUCCUGUAUUGUUUAUGUAGAAACUCUAAGUGCUUCAGUAAAUCGGAUUGACUGAAUAGCAUAAAUUAACGUAUUCAUCUCAGAUAGGUCGAUAAAUAAAAUUCCUAGAGGAUCUAUUAGUGCUUUUACAGAUACUGUGAUUAGCUUUUAAAGAAAUCUAAACAUAUUUACCCAGCCCUAAAUCUCCCACAUUUCUUGAAGUAAUACGUAAUACCAAUAAAUUUGAGCCAGUCGCUUGUAUUUAUAGAUUUCAAAAUAUUAGUCAAUUUUUAUUGAUGAGAAAUAGAUUCCGAGAUUUGUUGAAAGUUAAAGCGUCUAAGCUAAUUAAAUCCAUGACAUUAAUAUAAAUCGUCUAAUGUAGUGUUACGUCAUCGGAGACUUCAUUUGGCGUACUCUAAUUAAUGUUACAGAAACGGGAGAGGCAAGGAAGGAUUAUUGAUGGUAUAAGGUAUCCUAAUGUAAAUAUUUUAUAACAAAUGUCAUACGGCGGCUACUCUCAAAGACAAUGUUUAUUAACAAGUCCAGCUUAUUUUUCAAUUUUUCUAGAGUUGAACGUUUACAUAUUUCACAUGAACAAACAGGAAUCAUUUCGACAUAAACUAUUAGAAUAUGUUAGCAGUGAAAAACAAAUGUUAUGACGAUACAAGAGAGGCAUCUUCCUCCAAAAUAUCAUUUUGGGCGGAAGAUGUUUUACUAUCACUAAUAUCAAAAAUAUCGAUAUGAUCCAUAAGAAAUUAUCUGUAAAAUCUGUUUUUGAAGUUGAAUUAAACUAUGACAG